AGGUUCCCAAUGUUAAUCCAAGUCUCUGCCAACAAUGAGUCUGUCCUUUCUCACUGUCUCUCUGGUCUCCAUCCUCUGGCCCUGUCUGUCACUGGGAGCUUUGGUGACUCAGUGGCCGCGGACAGUCACAGCCAGAGAGGGGGAGACAGUGAGUUUGAAUUGUUAUCAGAAUGACACAGACUAUCAAGUAAUGCUCUGGUACUUCCAACCCCAUCAUGGAGGCCUCACAUUGAUCGCAUACGCCGUGGUGACAACUCCAACGUAUGAGAAAGGCUUUGAAUCCGGCUACAAUAUGACAAAGACAACUGAUGACAAGGAAUCCUCCCUGAAGAUCUCCAACUUGAACCCAACCCAGGAGGGGGUGUAUUACUGCGCUGCGAGAGAAGGACACAGCGUGAGAUAGAGACAGAUCUCUCGUACAUAAACCUCACACAGGACAAACAACGACUCGAUUCUAUACACACACACACCAGCCCCUCC
Non-coding RNA from Callorhinchus milii (elephant shark), 480 nucleotides. Lineage: Eukaryota; Metazoa; Chordata; Chondrichthyes; Chimaeriformes; Callorhinchidae. The record is from the annotation of a RefSeq genome assembly.